GCUUGUUGCACCACCACCACGACCCCCUACUUUUGUCCUUCCCGCGGUGUCCGGCGUCCGCGCCUACCUGCGCCAUGCACCAGCGGAUCACGCACUAUCUACAGAUGGCGGCGGCGCUCCUGCUGCUGUCUCUGACGCACUAUUUCGCAUCCUGCUUCCUGCCCAUCUCAGACUGCGACGAGACGUUCAACUUCGUUGAGCCCAUCCACUACCUCCUCUACGGCUCUGGCAAGCAGACGUGGGAGAUGUGCUCGCGUUUCGCGCUGCGCUCGUGGCUUUUUCUGUGGAUUUACGCGUGGCGAGCAGUGCUCAUCCGCGGCGCCGCCAGCCUUUCCAGCGUCCGCGUGUAUUUCUACCUUCGUAUUAUGAACGGCUGUGCCGCCGCCCUGGCAGAGCUCUUCUUUGUGUGCAGCGUGUGGCUCGCGUUCUCUGGCAAGGCGGCGGGGGUGGCGCUGCUGCUGUUGCUCUCCAACUACCCCAUCCACCACGCGGCGGUGAGCGUCUUGCCAACGAGCUUCGCGAUGAUAUGCAACUUCGUGGUGCUCGGGUGCUGGCUGCGCACGCAGCCGUGGACGACGUACUCGCCCGCCUCGCCGUCGCGCUUUAAAGGCGGAUCUACUAGGAAUGCCAGGUCGGCGGCCGCGGCGCACGUUGUCCGGCUGUCGACGCCGAUGCCGUCAUCAUCGUCGUCGGCGCCACCGCGGCACCUCUGCUGGUUCAUCGGCGCUGCUCUAUUCUUUAGUGCGCUUGGAAUAGUGACAGGGUGGCCGUUUGCCGUCCUCAUCUCCGCUCUUGUCGGUCUCGAUCUACUGCUGCAUUUCCCUGCACAAGCCCUCGCUUGCACGCUCGGCUCUCUUCUCGUAGUGUGCGCGGCUACUUUUCUGGCGGAUGCGCGGUACUACUGUCGCUGGACGCUGAGCAGCUGGAACGUCGUCACUUACAAUCUCUUCGGCAACUCAGGACGCGGCGCGGAGCUGUUCGGUGUCGAGCCCUGCUUUUUCUUUUGGAAGAACCUGUUGUUGAACUUCCACCUCAUGUUCGUGGCGGUCAUGCUAGCGCCUCUGGUCCUCCUGUACGCACCGCGGCGAGAGCUAGCCGCCACGUCGGCGCGCUCCGACGCGGUGAGCUCGGGAAGGCCACCUGGCGACGGCGCUGCACAAGAGUCGAACGACAGCGCCGUAUCCCCCACGAACUCGCUCGUCCGCUCGCGGCUGCGGACUUCAGGCACGCACGGCAGCGCAGCGGAGCUUCACUCCUCGCUACUCGCCAAUCGGCACCCUGGUGAGCAGGUGCUUGCAGCAAAAAUAGGGGCUGCUGUGUCGCGCGUCUCUCGCCAGCGGGAGCUGCUCUACGUGAUGCCGUUCUUCGUGUGGUUUCUCUUCUGGAUGAGCAUCGCGCACAAGGAGGAGCGCUUCAUGUCGCCCGCCUACCCGUUCAUGGUGCUGGCGGCGACAAGGACUUUGUGCCUCAUGUUCUUUCCUGACGCAGCCGAAGGUCAACCGAACUCGGCAGCGGCAACGCCAAAACGCGAGAAGAUCACUCCCGACGUGGUGGCGGUAACCGCGGCGGACGCCCAGGACACCGCCCUCACUUGUCAGCCGCCGCGCCGUCCUUCUCUGCCACCACAAGGGUGCCCCUCGCCCGCCUUCCUGGGGUGGCGCCACCUUGCUGGGCUGGCCUUCUUCUUGGCCUUCUUCCUCCUCUCGUACUCGCGGGCGAUGGCGGUCUACGUCUUCUACAGCGGGCCGGAGCGCAUGUUUUUCGACUGGUACCCUGUGCUGCAGGCGGAGGCGCAGCGGGCGUGGGAGGCGAAGCGUCAGGCAGUACGGCGGGACGCCGCAGUGCGUGGCCAAGCGUCACCGUCAUCGCUGCCACCGGGCACGACGGCUCAGCAGACGCAGGAGCUGCGCGCCUACUACACCGUGUGCCUCGGGCGCGAGUGGUAUCGCUUCCCCUCUUCCUUCUUCGUUGAUCAUCGCUGGAUUCGCUACCAGUUUCUGGAAACCCACCACUUCCAUGGCAUGCUGCCCCUGUCCUUUGUGACUCCGCCGGCUGGGCAGGAGAGCGGGUUCUUGCGAGCGCCAUCGAGCGAGGCUGCGGCUGCGACGAGCAAGUCACCGUCAACGUCAUCGUCCACGACCGCCCGCGGCUCGUGCUCCUGUGGCGCCCCCGGUGUUAACGACCUGAACCAGGAGAUUCCGGAGCAGUACGUGCGCUACCCUUCAGAGCAGUGCGACGCCAUCUUUGAUAGCCUUUCGCCUCCCAGUCAUGUAAGCGCGGCGCAUCACGCCACCGAACUCAAGCAUCUCCAACUCGAUACCGUGUUCACUCGCUCGCUGCUGAACAUCAGCGCCUUGCAAGCGGUGCUGAAAGCCGGCAGGAAGACGCAACGCGUGGGAAACGAUGCGUAUGCUGUCCUGGAUGUCGACCGGACGCCGCUCUGGUGCCGUGUCUUGUACUACCCAUUCGGUGUAACGAGACGCUGCGCGGUGUGGCGGCCACUUGUGCUGAACUCCAAACCGUGACUCCCCUCUUCUCCCGUGGCGCUGCGCGCAUACGUGUGAACGUGUGUGUGUGCGUGUGUGUUCCUCCGCGGCACAUUAG
RNAcentral lists this unclassified non-coding RNA (2604 nucleotides) under Leishmania donovani. Its description in RNAcentral is "gene:LdHU3.12.0230(CDS-product:dolichyl-P-Man:GDP -Man5GlcNAc2-PP-dolichyl_alpha-12-mannosyltransferase_putat ive)". Lineage: Eukaryota; Euglenozoa; Kinetoplastea; Trypanosomatida; Trypanosomatidae. The record is from RNAcentral.